CCGCAUGCCAGUCUUGGAGGUGGACUCUGCCCUUAGACUUCCUGCAAAGAAAAUUUACUCCACAAGGGAGAGAUUGCAGAUUUUACUGAAGAUUUCCAUUGCCAACCUCUCAGUGGAAUCUUCAGUCCCAGUGUGGAUGCAGUAGAAUGAAGCCAUAUAGCAGGAUUUUGUUCUGACAUCAACAUGGAAGUUCUGGAGGUUAGACAAGGUGUCAGCCUGAUGGAUUUCUUCUGGAAGUCUCAGAAGGACAGUUUGAUAUGGACAGCGACAGUGAACUUAAAGGCUAAAUUCUUGAGUCUCAAAUGGCAAGAAGAGAAGACAGCGUCCUAAUGAGGAAGAAAUUUCUCAGCUGGGAAACGAGUGUACCUUGGGGACUGAUGGUUUUUGCUCUUUUCUUCUCCCCACUGACUUUGACUUAUCUCUCCCUACUGUCAAGUCCGUAGUGGUGACAUCCGCCUCUCAUUGGUAAAAUAUGAAUUAUUACCACCACCAGGAAGAAAGGACAGUCUGAGAUCUUUGCUGCGAAGGUGUUCUGCUUCUGUUUGCCCAGCAGCAGCUUGCAAGCAUAGCACUUGGUACACAUUGGACUCUCUACCAGUAUUGGUGAUAAAGUGGUGUAACAAUGUCACAGCGCUAAGCCAGAAGACAGGACUACUGAGUCACUUGUUGGAAAAUGGAUGGAUCUUGACACCACGAUGCAAAGUGUUUCUCUCUAUGUAUGAUCAAGAUCCGUGCUGGGAAAGCCCAAAGGUCUGCAGUGGAAGCUAGAAAGUCUAUGCCAGCGGGUGAAGGAGCUGUGCUGGUAGGAUGAGGGUUCUACGCUGGAGCCAAGAAGUCACACUCACAGCAAAGACUAGGACUGUCCUGAAGGGCACCACAGCUGUCCUCAGCGACAUGGAGGCCCUGAGCUCCUCCUCCAACAGGCACAGUCGGGUACAUGCCAAGAAGCCAGCGUGACGAGUUCAUCCUGGAGACCAAGCAGCACAUAUCUUCUCUGGAGCCAGGAAGCAAUGCUUGAUGUGAGGACCAGAGCUUCUCCAGGAGAACCAAUGGUUCAAACAGCAACAUGUAGGAGAACCCACGGUGCCCAACAUCUAAACGCCAUAGCUUCUCCUUCUCUACGUCUCUAUUUAUGUUGGCAACUUUCCUUAGGUGGCACAUCCACGCUCUGCACCAUGCUGAUAUAAUCUAACUGGUGUUAAGUUGACCACCAAUUUUUAAUCCAUAAUACUCCUUCUUCAGAGUUCUGAGUGGCUGAGGUCAGAAAAGUGGCAGAGGUGUCCUCAGCACCAGGGUCAAGUCCCAGAGAACAGACUGUGCUUUCUGUUGCAGAAAGACAAAUGCAAGGCUGUGGGACUUCAGACAGUGUGAGGGGGUGAAAUGGUUACCAUGUUAGUUGUGCUAAUGUUACUUCAGCUCCACCUCCCAGCAGCUGAGUCCCAUUGCUGGAGGAACUUAAUUCCCUUGCCUUUACCUGGAAGAGGAUGAUGAGGGCACCUUCAAGGACUUUGCAACCCUAAAUUUCUGUGAUUGCUACCUGGAUGUUGAAUAGAAUAGAUUCAACCUGUGGAAAGGUCUUUUUACUAAGACACCCAAACCAAUGUGAAAUAUUUUCUGAUACACUCUCUCCCACCAAAAAUAAAGUAAAAUACAAUGCAUGGUAUGAUAUAUAUGAAGUGUAUAUUCCUAAGAAAGUUUGGUAUGGUGGCACAUACCUAUGAUCCCAGCACUUGGGAGGCUGUGGCAGGAGGGUCAUCCUGAGUUUGAGGCCAGCCUGGGCUACAUAGUAAGUUCAAGGCUAGUCUGAAGUACAUAAUGAGAUCCCAUCUCAAAGCAAAAAUUGUAUAUUAAAGUGUGGUAUAAUAGGGACAUUCAUUGAGGAAAUAUUGAAUGAAUGGAAGAGUGAAGGCUGAUAUCUCUUUUUU
Long non-coding RNA from Cavia porcellus (domestic guinea pig), 1925 nucleotides. RefSeq lists it as uncharacterized. Lineage: Eukaryota; Metazoa; Chordata; Mammalia; Rodentia; Caviidae. The record is from RefSeq and is a predicted model, not a curated record. The transcript has 7 exons.